AGGAUAAAACGCACAAUCGCGAAUUUUCCCCAACGAAGAUAGAGACAUUUUCGUCCAUUACUGCGACUUUUGUCUUCUGAAAUGUCACCUGAUAUCGCGAUUAACGCGCCAGGCUAAUGUUUUUACUCUUUUUUUGAUCCAUAAAGUAAGAUGA
RNAcentral lists this small RNA (154 nucleotides) under Citrobacter amalonaticus. Its description in RNAcentral is "Enterobacterial sRNA STnc410". It matches the Rfam family "Enterobacterial sRNA STnc410". Lineage: Bacteria; Pseudomonadati; Pseudomonadota; Gammaproteobacteria; Enterobacterales; Enterobacteriaceae. The record is from RNAcentral.